GAAAUUUCUGAACUUUUUAGAGCCUAUUUCACUUUACUCUAUGGAAAUGAGAGUAAGAAACUAACGUUAAGAAGGGUUAAUUUCACACAGUCAGACACAUCCUCAAUAUCUAACAUAUAUUUUUUAGAGAUUAAAAUCUUUAAAAAGGCCAGGAAAGCGUCAGAUAUUUCGGACGACGUUUACCUGACGUUUUUUUUUUUUAUUUUCGCGGCCCCAAUUUUCGUUUAUUUUGAUAAUGUAUAUCGAAAGAAGAUAAUUCCGACUACUUCACACAUUAACGCGAAAAAUAGUAAUCGCAAAAUUAUUCAGAAUUAAUAAGUAAUAUAUGUUACUUUACAAUGAAAAUUUGGAUAAAAUAUGAAUUGAUAUUGCAGUUGGCAACGGUGUGUGUUGAAAGUUGGCUCUCUGUGAGUUCCCACGAUGUCAGGCCCAUAGAUCUGAAGUGAUGAGACCGAGAAACAAUGGUCUAUCCCUUAUCAGCUUCAAUUAAUCAAUCAUUUACACAACCAGAAAGGAAUCAUUGUUUAAUAUAGCGACCCAAUUAGACAUAUUUAGUUUAAUGUUAACUAAGGGUCGACUUCAAAUAUUGAUUGCUAUCAAAUGGUUGAUGGUGUGUUAUGAUUGAAAAAUCAACCCCCAGUAAGUAAAACAAAGAACUUAGCAGAUACACAGACUUGUAGGGAAGCAGGGUACAGGGUGUUUACAUGUGUGGGACAACAGACUGAUCACAGUACUGGUGUAUCAAUAACUGCACUGAUUAUACUGUUAUCUUGGGAACAUCAGUCUUUUAUAAUCUUAAUAAUUCUAAUUGGCCAUCCCCUGCGAGAUAAGGACUUAUUGAACAUGAAUAUGAUGUUUCUGUACAUAAGCGGUUAGUACACGGAUAUAAAAUUUCACAUAAUAGAUAGCUCAGAUAAAAGGUUCAAAAGCACCAACUAAAAUAGAAAUGGUUGGCCUCGGGUGCCCUAUGAUGUUUAACUCUAGAUAUAUUAAAUCUUGGCUUGUCUUCUCAGCAUUAAAUUAGAGAAUAUGUGUGUAAUAAACUUUUGAGAUGAUUUCUGAUGUAAAAAUAAUGUCUGCCUACUGAACAAUAGGUCUUGUCGAGUAUCCAAUUUAAAGAACAAAUCGCAUAUACAUUUGAAUUGCUCAAGAUCAAUAUUUUGCUUUUUUUAUACGAGUGAAUUGGGGUUGGAGAGGAUUCUCAUAGCACGUUACAGUGGCCUGUUCGUCUCCAGACGUACGCUUAAAUGAAGGCAGGGUACAUUUGUGGUCCAUCGUAACUUCAAAAUGAAGGUGCCAGAGAGUGGUCAGAGAAACGGAGAGAAAAGAGAACCAUUACCUGUUGAUUGAAGAAGUAAUUAAUUCCACUAAUUAGAAUCCUUGAGACAGAAUCACAGCCUCAGAAUCUCCCCUAUUAAAGUGUUGGCAGCGAUUCUCCUGGAUUCCCCUCCUCUAUUGUACAUAACACAACAGCUGAUCAGGAGAACUGAGUAGACGAUGAUAUCGUCGGGUCAUCGCAGCAGCCCACCUGAGAUAGAAUCGGUCCCACGCCCGAGUGACCCUUGGAUUGAGACAUAUUUCACGAUUCAGUGAUGCCCAUCAGAAUGGUGAUCAAGUACGGUAUGUCCUGCAUUAUCCUGGGAAUAUCCUGGCUGAUCAGUCAAUGCUGAGGCUGGUAACCACUUAUCUGUAGAGGGCACGACUCGAUACUUCCUAGUAUACUACCUGAACCCGUCAGAGAGGAACUGGAAAGGUACACAACUCUCAUCCAUGUACUGUCGGAACCAGAACCAUUCCAUGUAUUAAUACCAUAACAAACCAGAAUGUCAGGUAUCUCUCCGAGUGAGAGAGAUGUGAUGCAAUGAGUAAUGUAAAUAUUUCCCAUUAUAAAUCUCCGUAAGAAUUAUGUUUUCAUUCCUGUGAACUUUAAUAAGUGAAAAAUGAUAAUUGUUCAUUGACGAUAUCUUGGAUAUGAUUUCAACUGUAUCUAUUUCACAGGAAUGUGUCUUUUUAUAUAAAAUCAUCAAAAGGUGAUAGAAGCAAUAACUUGGGACAGACUUAAUAGAAAAAGAGAUCCUCCUCAGCAGUUGUAGGCUAUGGUUUGGUUAAGAAUCAAUUGUUUGGUUUUAGGUGGCUCAUAAUUUGAUUUGAAAAUUUUCUCGGUCAAAUGUGUAUGAUCAUAGUUUAUGAGAUGAGUUAAGACCAAUGCAUGCACAAUGUAUGAAUGAUAUAUCAUAAUGAGAGUUAUAUAGAUUUUUAAGAGAAAUGAAAUGAACCUUUGAAGAUGGAGUACUACCGGGUAUAUGGUUCGUUUAACCCAGGAGGAUGCUAUAAGUUCUUUAAAUUGAAGAACCUACUUAGUUUAGGGAAUAAAAGUUGGGGUAAAAUACAUAAUAUUCUCAUAUUGGACAGAGACACCACAACCUUGUGCAGACACAUCUUCAUAUCAAAACUUAAAUCAUCUUGCAUGGUGCAGACUUUUCUCCCUCCAAUCGAGGAAUCUCCCCCUCUCUAGUUAUUUCAAUGUUCUCCCUUCAACAGCAAUGUUCCAUAUAUCUUAAUAAGAGGACUAUUUUUAAAUCAUGAAAAUAGAAAUGUUUUUUGUCUGAUAUUUUUUCUACUACAACAAGAAGGUUAUCAUCGAUGGCUAGCUCAGAAGGUUUGACUGUCUGGUCCGCAAACCUUUAAACAAACUAGUAAGAAUUGAGGCAAUAGAAACUAAAGAGGAAUACUUUAAAAUAUAACAGUUUUAUCUAUUUUGCUCUGUUGGUCUGAACCAUUUCCAUCAUAUUUUGGGGCCACAAGCUACCUCAAGAUUUGGCAGAAUUAAGUUCUCCCAUACCAUUAAAAAAUGGAGAUAAUCUUUUUAGGUGAAGGUUAUAUUAAAAAGUAAGAAUGCCUAGUCUGAUAGCUUUCUUUGAAAAGUAUCUGAGCUACAUGCAUUCCGGGCUUGGUCCAUGAUAUUUCCUCCUUCCUUAUACAGACAAUGGAGGAAAAAGGGCAAAGCAGGCUGUCUGUGGAAGAUGAGGAAAAGAGUUGUAUUGAGAAAAAAAAGCAACAGGCACAUUGAAGAGACAGAGUAGAAGUUUACAGUCACUCACUCUGUGGAGAUUGCCAAAUGUUCAGAAACAUGUAUUAGAUAUCAUAUAAUACUCUU
Magallana angulata is the source of this 3157-nucleotide long non-coding RNA. RefSeq lists it as uncharacterized. NCBI's taxonomy places the organism in Eukaryota, Metazoa, Mollusca, Bivalvia, Ostreida, Ostreidae. The transcript has 4 exons. The record is from RefSeq and is a predicted model, not a curated record.